AGGUGUGUAGUUCAGUGGUAGAGCACUUGCCUAGCAUGCAUAAGGACCUAGGUUCAAUCCCUAGCAAUGCUA
Non-coding RNA from Heterocephalus glaber (naked mole-rat), 72 nucleotides. NCBI's taxonomy places the organism in Eukaryota, Metazoa, Chordata, Mammalia, Rodentia, Bathyergidae. The record is from Rfam.